Molecule: long non-coding RNA, 255 nt
Filed under: Lathyrus oleraceus (garden pea)
Lineage: Eukaryota; Viridiplantae; Streptophyta; Magnoliopsida; Fabales; Fabaceae
Description: Pisum sativum (pea) long non-coding RNA (PSAT_LNC032639)
Source: RNAcentral
UUAUAGGCCAAGUGUCCUAUGAAGAAGAAAGAUAAUGAGAAAGGUCAUCACAAAAAAUCUAUCAAGUCUAGAAGAGCAUAUGUUGCUUUGGAGAGAAAGAGUGAUUUCUCAAAUGAUGAAAGCUCAACUUCAAGUGUAAAAUCGACUCAGAUUUGCCUCAUGGCAAACAAAAAGAAGAAAAAGGUUGUAAGCAACUCUAAACUUGAAUCUACUCAUGACUUAUCUUAUUCUUAAUUACAAAAAUCUUUUGAAAAU